GGGGAAUUUUCCGCAAUGGGCGAAAGCCUGACGGAGCGACACCGCGUGCAGGAUGAAAGCCUUAGGGUUGUAAACUGCUGUCACGCUAUAGGAGUGGCGCGUCGUUAAUAUCUACGCGUUUGACCAAAGCGAGAGGAAGCACCGGCUAACUCCGUGCCAGCAGCCGCGGUAAGACGGAGGGUGCAAACGUUGUUCGGAAUCACUGGGCAUAAAGCGCACGCAGGCGGCCCGUUAAGUCAGGUGUGAAAGCCCACGGCUCAACCGUGGAACUGCACUUGAAACUGACAGGCUAGAGGACGGUUGGGGUGAGUGGAACUCCUGGUGGAGCGGUGAAAUGCGUAGAUAUCAGGAGGAACACCAGUGGCGAAAGCGGCUCACUGGACCGUAACUGACGCUCAGGUGCGAAAGCUAGGGUAGCGAAUGGGAUUAGAUACCCCAGUAGUC
This 444-nucleotide ribosomal RNA is filed under the name uncultured cyanobacterium. RNAcentral's name for it is "bacterial SSU rRNA". It matches the Rfam family "Bacterial small subunit ribosomal RNA", at positions 356 to 795 of the family's 1533-position model. Lineage: Bacteria; Bacillati; Cyanobacteriota. The record is from RNAcentral.